UCCCCUCCAAGUACUUGGGGGUUCAGUAGGUGCCAAUAUGUCUCUUAAAAGGAAUUUUCAGCCUAUAAUCGAUUAUGUCCAAAUAUGUCUCUUAAAAGGAAUUUUCAGCCUAUAAUCGAUUAUGUCCAAAUAUGUCUCUUAAAAGGAAUUUUCAGCCUAUAAUCGAUUAUGUCCAAAUAUGUCUCUUAAAAGGAAUUUUCAGCCUAUAAUCGAUUAUGUCCAAGGCAGAUUAUCCACAUGGAAAGCAAAAAAAUUAUCAUUCGGUGGCCGGAUUACUCUCAUCAAGUCUGUACUUUGAAGUUCCCCAGUUUAUUUUCUCUCGUUUUUAAUGCCAA
RNAcentral lists this long non-coding RNA (335 nucleotides) under Lactuca sativa (garden lettuce). RNAcentral's name for it is "long non-coding RNA (LSAT_LNC005755)". Lineage: Eukaryota; Viridiplantae; Streptophyta; Magnoliopsida; Asterales; Asteraceae. The record is from RNAcentral.